Molecule: ribosomal RNA, 223 nt
Filed under: fungal sp.
Lineage: Eukaryota; Fungi
Description: partial 28S ribosomal RNA
Rfam family: Eukaryotic large subunit ribosomal RNA
Source: RNAcentral
GACGAGUCGAGUAGUUUGGGAAUGCUGCUCUAAAUGGGAGGUAUAUUUCUUCUAAAGCUAAAUACUGGCCAGAGACCGAUAGCGCACAAGUAGAGUGAUCGAAAGAUGAAAAGCACUUUGAAAAGAGGGUUAAAUAGCACGUGAAAUUGUUGAAAGGGAAGCGUUUAUCACCAGACUUUUUCUAGGGGGAUCAUCCGGUGUUCUCACCGGUGCACUUCCCCUG